This 507-nucleotide small RNA is filed under the name uncultured Glomus. RNAcentral's name for it is "SSU rRNA". It matches the Rfam family "Eukaryotic small subunit ribosomal RNA", at positions 569 to 1077 of the family's 1831-position model. Lineage: Eukaryota; Fungi; Glomeromycota; Glomeromycetes; Glomerales; Glomeraceae. The record is from RNAcentral.
AGCAGCCGCGGUAAUUCCAGCUCCAAUAGCGUAUAUUAAAGUUGUUGCAGUUAAAAAGCUCGUAGUUGAAUUUCGGGGUCAGCAGGUUGGUCGUGCCAAUGGUAUGCACUGGCCUUGCUGAUUCCUCCCUCUUGAUGAGCCGUAAUGCCAUUAAUUUGGUGUUGCGGGGAAUCAGGACUGUUACUUUGAAAAAAUUAGAGUGUUUAAAGCAGGCAUGCGCUUGAAUACAUUAGCAUGGAAUAAUGAAAUAGGACGUUUGAUCCUAUUUUGUUGGUUUCUAGGAUUGACGUAAUGAUUAAUAGGGAUAGUUGGGGGCAUUAGUAUUCAAUUGUCAGAGGUGAAAUUCUUGGAUUUAUUGAAGACUAACUACUGCGAAAGCAUUUGCCAAGGAUGUUUUCAUUAAUCAAGAACGAAAGUUAGGGGAUCGAAGACGAUCAGAUACCGUCGUAGUCUUAACCAUAAACUAUGCCGACUAGGGAUCGGAUGAUGUUAAUUUUUUAAUGACUC